CGACGGGGCCGGACGGCCGCUGGCCGCUUCGCGCGGCGAGAGGAAAGUCCGGGCUCCCCAGGACAAGGUGGUCGGUAACGCCGACCGGCCGCGAGGCCCGGGAAAGUGCCACAGAAAACAAACCGCCUCGCCGCUCACGCGGCGCGGUAAGGGUGAAACGGUGCGGUAAGAGCGCACCAGCAGUCGAGGUGACUCGACUGGCUUGGCAAACCCCACCUGGAGCAAGGCCAAGCAGGAAGUCGCCGCGGCUCGCCGCGGCCGGUUUGGUCCGAACCGCCGACUUCCGGGUAGGCCGCUCGAGACGUUCAGCAAUGGACGUCCUAGAGGAAUGGCCGUCGUCCACCCUCGCGGGUGGAAACAGAACCCGGCUUACAGGCCCCGUCGAUCC
RNAcentral lists this RNase P RNA (388 nucleotides) under Planctomycetota bacterium. RNAcentral describes it as "Planctomycetes bacterium (freshwater metagenome) RNase P RNA component class A". It matches the Rfam family "Bacterial RNase P class A". From Rfam's summary of the family: Ribonuclease P (RNase P) is a ubiquitous endoribonuclease, found in archaea, bacteria and eukarya as well as chloroplasts and mitochondria. Its best characterised activity is the generation of mature 5'-ends of tRNAs by cleaving the 5'-leader elements of precursor-tRNAs. Cellular RNase Ps are ribonucleoproteins. Lineage: Bacteria; Pseudomonadati; Planctomycetota. The record is from RNAcentral.